Molecule: ribosomal RNA, 250 nt
Filed under: uncultured bacterium
Lineage: Bacteria
Description: partial 16S ribosomal RNA
Rfam family: Bacterial small subunit ribosomal RNA
Source: RNAcentral
UACGGAGGGUGCAAGCGUUAUCCGGAUUCACUGGGUUUAAAGGGUGCGUAGGUGGAUCAAUAAGUCAGUGGUGAAAGCCCCGAGCUCAACUUGGGAAUUGCCAUUGAUACUGUAGAUCUUGAGUGCGGUUGAGGUAGGCGGAAUGUUACAUGUAGCGGUGAAAUGCUUAGAUAUGUAACAGAACACCAAUUGCGAAGGCAGCUUACCAAGCCGAUACUGACACUGAGGCACGAAAGCGUGGGGAUCAAAC